This is an RNA transcript of Aethalodelphis obliquidens (Pacific white-sided dolphin), 932 nucleotides long. It is a transcript of the gene named glutaredoxin 2, with no coding region annotated. The record is from RefSeq and is a predicted model, not a curated record. The transcript is spliced from 6 exons. Lineage: Eukaryota; Metazoa; Chordata; Mammalia; Artiodactyla; Delphinidae.
GUGUCUGCUCGCGGCGGCCCAGAGCCAGGGCCAUGUACAGGCGCCGUGCAGCACUGGUGGGGACGCGGCUUGUCCGGAGCGGGAGCAGGUCGGCGGGCCGGCUCCAGGGGGCAGCGGGAGUUUCGGCCUCUGGGAUGGGGAACAGCACAUCGUCAUCUUUGGGGAACACAGCAACUACUCCCAUGAAUCAGAUCCAAGAAAUCAUUUCUAAUAAUUGUGUGGUGAUUUUCUCCAAAACUUCUUGUUCUUACUGUACGAUGGCAAAAACACUUUUUCACGACAUGAGUGUAAACUAUAAAGUGGUGGAAUUGGACAUGCUUGAACACGGAAGCCAGUUACAAGACGCUCUUCACGAAAUGACCGGUGAAAGAACUGUGCCAAGAAUAUUUGUCAAUGGAACUUUUAUUGGCGGUGCAACUGACACUCACAGGCUUCACAAAGAAGGGAAAUUGCUUCCACUAGUUCACCAGUGUUAUCCAAAAAAAAGUAAGAGGAAGGAAUUUUAGUGAUCUUUCAGUGGUGAGCGCUGAUGGGUACCUUCUCUGCAAAAUAAGGCUCUCACUGAUGCAGUUGUGAACUCGAGCAACGGCAGGAUGGACAUGUCCAGCAAAGGUCUCGUUAUCAGUGAAUACUAUGAAGACAUCGGCAGCUGUAUUUGUGUUUUGAGCCCAGAUCAUUGGAAGAGAGCAAUCAGUUCCACCUGCUGGGAUCUAACUCGGAAAAAAAACAUGGAUAAGAAUACAAGAAAAUGCCUUCAUUUCUGUACUGACAUGUCUGAAAUAAUUAAAUACUUAAAAAUACUAUUUUAUAGGUUAUUUUGUUUAGACCCAAUAUAUAGGCUUUCCCAAGGCUUGUAAAUAUAUUUCUGAUUCUGUGUUCAUGAGAAAGUUGAGAUGAAACAAUUUGUUCUCACAAAUUUAUUAAUAUCAGGA